UGGACAGUGUGAUCCUUGUUUGUGCUAGC
Molecule: non-coding RNA, 29 nt
Filed under: Homo sapiens (human)
Lineage: Eukaryota; Metazoa; Chordata; Mammalia; Primates; Hominidae
Source: RNAcentral